This 440-nucleotide ribosomal RNA is filed under the name uncultured bacterium. RNAcentral's name for it is "partial 16S ribosomal RNA". It matches the Rfam family "Bacterial small subunit ribosomal RNA", at positions 338 to 795 of the family's 1533-position model. The record is from RNAcentral.
CCUACGGGCGGCAGCAGUGGGGAAUAUUGCACAAUGGGGGAAACCCUGAUGCAGCGACGCCGCGUGAGUGAAGAAGUAUUUCGGUACGUAAAGCUCUAUCAGCAGGGGAGAAAAUGACGGUACCUGAGUAAGAAGCCCCGGCUAACUACGUGCCAGCAGCCGCGGUAAUACGUAGGGGGCAAGCGUAAUCCGGAUUUACUGGGUGUAAAGGGAGCGUAGAUGGAUGGGCAAGUCAGUAGUGAAAUUCCAUGGCUUAACCAUGGAACUGCUUUUGAAACUGUGCAGCUGGAGUGCAGGAGAGGUAAGCGGAAUUCGUAGUGUAGCGGUGAAAUGCGUAGAUAUUAGGAGGAACCCCAGUGGCGAAGGCGGCUUACUGGACUGUAACUGACGUUGAGGCUCGAAAGUGUGGGGAGCAAACAGGAUUAGAUACCCUGGUAGUC